Molecule: ribosomal RNA, 216 nt
Filed under: Glomeromycotina sp.
Lineage: Eukaryota; Fungi; Glomeromycota
Description: partial small subunit ribosomal RNA
Rfam family: Eukaryotic small subunit ribosomal RNA (bases 40-216)
Source: RNAcentral
GGGUCAGUAGGUUGGUCGUGCCACCGGUACGUACUGGUCUCACUGAUUCCUCCUUCCUGAAGAACCGUAAUGCCAUUAAUUUGGUGUUGCGGGGAAACAGGACUGUUACUUUGAAAAAAUUAGAGUGUUUAAAGCAAACUAACGCUUGAAUACAUUAGCAUGGGAUAAUGAAAUAGGACGAUCGAUCCUAUUUUGUUGGUUUCUAGGAUUGACGUA